UAUAGUAAAUUCAAUUGAAGUGUAAACCUCAACCAAAGUACAGCAAAGAUUAGAAAACAGAGGGAGCAAACUGCACACCAGGCACAUCAGGCAAACCUCAAAGAUUCCCUAAGAACGAUUGCAAGUUCAUACCUUCUCUAAAUCUUAUACUCAUAGCAAGAAUAGGAAAAAUGUUGGAAUGUUGUAACAUUCUAAAGUUCAAUUGAUGAAUUCUAUAGAAAUAAGCAAAGCUUCUAAAAUAAACUUAACUGAAAAUUGUCAUGCAACCCAAUAUACCCAUUCUAUAUAGAGAAAGGAAAAAAAAAAUAAUCAUAUUUGCAUUUCACAAUAUAAACUAAGACUAAAAAGAUAACAAAAUAAAU
Molecule: long non-coding RNA, 362 nt
Filed under: Ananas comosus (pineapple)
Lineage: Eukaryota; Viridiplantae; Streptophyta; Magnoliopsida; Poales; Bromeliaceae
Description: long non-coding RNA (ACOM_LNC037445)
Source: RNAcentral